Long non-coding RNA from Homo sapiens (human), 373 nucleotides. Ensembl annotates it as NTM intronic transcript. Its record names the gene NTM-IT. Lineage: Eukaryota; Metazoa; Chordata; Mammalia; Primates; Hominidae. The record is from Ensembl.
CUAAAACAGUCGGCCUGGUUGAUUUCUGGGAGGGCCUCUCUCCUUGGCAUGUAGAAGUGGCCUUGGGGAGAAGGCGGGGCCGGCCAGGGUUUCUACUCCUGCCUCAUGGAGACCCGCCUCAGAUGCCCAGCACUGCGACUGCUGCACAGCCACGAGGCUGAGCCGCUGCGGAUGCAUGCGUGACUUAGGAAUGUGUGCUGGUGUGUUUGCCACAGCAACAGGAUGAGGAAAGCACAGCUCCAAGAGAGGUGGGAGCUCAUCCACCUGGGGAAGCAUGAGCAGGAGCAGGAAGGGUCACUCUGGGACUGUGCUCAUGGGACCCUGAGAUGCAGCAGAAAGAGCAGUGUGAGGAGCAAAGUGACGCUGCCUGCAG